CUACGGGAGGCACCAGUGGGGAAUAUUGGACAAUGGGGGAAACCCUGAUCCAGCAAUGCCGCGUGUGUGAAGAAGGCCUGCGGGUUGUAAAGCACUUUCGGUUGGGAGGGCUGCUUCUAGCACUAAUAUUGUUGGAAGUUGACGUUACCUUCAGAAGAAGCACCGGCUAACUCCGUGCCAGCAGCCGCGGUAAUACGGAGGGUGCAUGCGUUAAUCGGAAUUCUGGGCGUAAAGCGCGCGUAGGCGGCUAGAUCAGUCGGGUGUGAAAGCCCCGGGCUUAACCUGGGAACUGCAUCCGAUACUGUCUAGCUUGAGUACAGGAGAGGAGAGUGGAAUUCCACAUGUAGCGGUGAAAUGCGUAGAUAUGUGGAGGAACACCAAUGGCGAAGGCAGCUCUCUGGCCUGAUACUGACGCUGAGGUGCGAAAGCGUGGGGAGCAAACAGGAUUAGAUACCCGAGUAGUC
This 464-nucleotide ribosomal RNA is filed under the name uncultured bacterium. Its description in RNAcentral is "partial 16S ribosomal RNA". It matches the Rfam family "Bacterial small subunit ribosomal RNA", at positions 339 to 795 of the family's 1533-position model. The record is from RNAcentral.